AAAAUCUUUUCCUUAGGGUUGCGCUACUGUUCAAUGAGCAUAUAGUGAAGGUAGUACCACCUACAAAACACACCUGCAUCAACUGGAGCUUUGCUUUCCUUUGGUUUUACUAUUUAUAUAA
RNAcentral lists this small nuclear RNA (121 nucleotides) under Prolemur simus (greater bamboo lemur). RNAcentral describes it as "U4atac minor spliceosomal RNA (ENSPSMG00000024728.1)". Lineage: Eukaryota; Metazoa; Chordata; Mammalia; Primates; Lemuridae. The record is from RNAcentral.